GAAGAGAUCCCGGUCGCCAUUUCAAGGUAUCAUGAUGACAGACGCCCGCUGCUGCGCUCUGUCAAUGAACUUCCGGUUUAGAGUGUACCCCCUAGCCUCGUUUUGGAUUUCAAGAUGGACGGUGAAUAAGGUUUUUCCGGCGCCUGGCAUUUUCAUUCGGAGACGGAUGCGCGGCCUGCCGGGCUGGUUGGAGGUAGAUGGCCGUGGUAACGUAUGGAAGUUGCUGAAGGCCUAAUGAGAAGUUUUUUGGAAGGCGUAGGCUACGGUACACAGGAACACGCAGGAACGCUGGACCGCCUGGGGGAGGGGUGCGGACGGUCAGACAGGAGACGCUCCAGAGGGAGCAUCGACCGACCGAUACAUUGACCGCAUUACUGCAGAAGCUGCACCGAUCCGUCUGUCAAUCUCCCGUUCCAUCCUUACCUCACUCGUGAACAAGACCCCUAGAAAACUCCUCCACUUGAGGCAAGCACUCUUCACCAACCUGAAGUGGGCAAGCCACCCUUUUCCGACUGAGGACCAUGGCCUCGGAUUUGGAGGUACUGAUUCUCAUC
Esox lucius (northern pike) is the source of this 554-nucleotide long non-coding RNA. NCBI's taxonomy places the organism in Eukaryota, Metazoa, Chordata, Actinopteri, Esociformes, Esocidae. The record is from Ensembl.